CCUACGGGAGACAGCAGUGAGGAAUAUUGGUCAAUGGGCGGAAGCCUGAACCAGCCAAGUAGCGUGCAGGAUGACGGCCCUACGGGUUGUAAACUGCUUUUAUACGGGAAUAACGCGCCUUACGUGUAGGGCUUUGCAUGUACCGUAUGAAUAAGGACCGGCUAAUCCCGUGCCAGCAGCCGCGGUAAUACGGAAGGUCCGGGCGUUAUCCGGAUUUAUUGGGUUUAAAGGGGGCGUAGGUGGCAGGUAAAGCAGCGUGGGAAAUGUCCGGGUUAAACGCGGGCCUUGCAGCGGAAACUGGCGUGCUGGAGUCCGCGGAAGGCAGGCGGAAUUCGUCGUGUAGCGGUGAAAUGCUUAGAUAUGACGAAGAACCCCGAUUGCGAAGGCAGCUUGCUGCAGCGGAACUGACGCUGAUGCUCGAAAGCGCGGGUAUCGAACAGGAUUAGAUACCCUAGUAGUC
RNAcentral lists this ribosomal RNA (460 nucleotides) under uncultured bacterium. RNAcentral's name for it is "partial 16S ribosomal RNA". It matches the Rfam family "Bacterial small subunit ribosomal RNA", at positions 338 to 795 of the family's 1533-position model. The record is from RNAcentral.